AUCCAGCUGAUGAGUCACAAAUAGGACGGAACGCGCUUUUAGGAU
Molecule: non-coding RNA, 45 nt
Filed under: Schistosoma mattheei
Lineage: Eukaryota; Metazoa; Platyhelminthes; Trematoda; Strigeidida; Schistosomatidae
Source: RNAcentral